AUUGAACGCUGGCGGCAGGCCUAACACAUGCAAGUCGAGCGGAUGAAGGGAGCUUGCUCCUGGAUUCAGCGGCGGACGGGUGGGUAAUGCCUACGAAUCUGCCUGGUAUUGGGGGAUAACGUCCGGAAACGGGCGCUAAUACCGCAUACGACCUGAGGGAGAAAGUGGGGGAUCUUCGGACCUCACGCUAUCAGAUGAGCCUAGGUCGAAUUAGCUAGUUGGUGGGGUAAAGGCGUACCAAGGCGACGAUCCGUAACUGGUCUGAGAGGAUGAUCAGUCACACUGGAACUGAGACACGGUCCAGACUCCUAGGGGAGGCAGCAGUGGGAAACAUUGGCCAAGGGGCGAAAGCCUGAUCCAGACAUGCGGCGUGUGUGAAGAAGGUCUUCGGAUUGUAAAGCCCUUUAAGUUGGGAGAAAGGGCAGUAAGUUAAUACCUUGCUGUUUUGACGUUCCCAACAGAAUAAGCACCGGCUAACUUCGU
RNAcentral lists this ribosomal RNA (483 nucleotides) under uncultured bacterium. Its description in RNAcentral is "partial 16S ribosomal RNA". It matches the Rfam family "Bacterial small subunit ribosomal RNA", at positions 30 to 506 of the family's 1533-position model. The record is from RNAcentral.